GUGGGAAAUUUUCCGCAAUGGGGGAAAGCCUGACGGAGCAAGACCGGCUGGGGGAGGAAGGCUCUUUGGGUGUAAACCCCUUUUCUCAGGGAAGAAGUUCUGGCGGUACCUGAGGAAUCAGCCUCGGCUAACUCCGUGCCAGCAGCCGCGGUAAUACCGAGGAGGCCAGCGGUAUCCGGAUUUAUUGGGCGUAAAGCGUCCGCAGGUGGCUAGUCAAAUCGGGGGUCAAAGCACAGGGCUCAACUCCUAAAUGCCGGUUGAAACUGUCAUGCUAGAGUUCGGUAAUGGGCAGGUGUCUUCCAUGUGUAGCGGUGAAAUGUGUAGAAAUGGGGAAUUUCCGCAAUGGGGAAAUUCCGCAAUGGGGAAUUCC
This 370-nucleotide ribosomal RNA is filed under the name uncultured cyanobacterium. RNAcentral's name for it is "bacterial SSU rRNA". It matches the Rfam family "Bacterial small subunit ribosomal RNA", at positions 354 to 743 of the family's 1533-position model. The record is from RNAcentral. Lineage: Bacteria; Bacillati; Cyanobacteriota.